This 774-nucleotide ribosomal RNA is filed under the name uncultured Neocallimastigales. Its description in RNAcentral is "partial large subunit ribosomal RNA". It matches the Rfam family "Eukaryotic large subunit ribosomal RNA", at positions 24 to 627 of the family's 3401-position model. Lineage: Eukaryota; Fungi; Neocallimastigomycota; Neocallimastigomycetes; Neocallimastigales. The record is from RNAcentral.
UAUCUCUGUAGAGUCUGCAUAUCAAUAAGCGGAGGAAAAGAAACUAACUAGGAUUCCCUUAGUAACGGCGAGUGUAGCGGGAAGAGCUCAAAUUUGAAAUCUUCAAGGUUUACCUUGACGAAUUGUAGUUUAAAGAAGUGUUUUCUGUUGGAUGUUUUGGUAAAAGUUCUUUGGAAUAGGACAUCAUAGAGGGUGAGAAUCCCGUAUUUGACCAUUACUUCCAGCGUUGUGAUACACUUUCAAAGAGUCGGAUUGUUUGGGAAUGCAGUCCAAAAUGGGUGGUAAAUUUCAUCUAAAGCUAAAUAUUGGCGAGAGACCGAUAGCGAACAAGUACCGUGAGGGAAAGAUGAAAAGAACUUUGAAAAGAGAGUUAAACAGUACGUGAAAUUGUCAAAAGGGAAGCGUUUGACACCAGUGUUGUUUUCUCGAAAAUCAAUUAAAAAAGGCAGGAUUUUGUGUUGUAUUGACUUUAUCAGCUUUCUGCACUCUUUUCUUGUCUUUUUUAAUGCACUUUUCGUUUAACAAGUCAACAUCAAUUUCUUUUGUUGUAAAAGGGUCAUUGGAAGGUGGCUUUCUUUUCGGAGAAAGUGUUUAUAGCCUUUGGCCUCUGCAAUCGGAGAGAUUGAGGUCUGCAGCGUAGAUCCUUCGGGGUUAGAUACAUUUGUGCUAAGUUAUAGCCUUUCAUAGACAACUUGUUGACUAUGAUCAGUCAUGUAGCUUACUCGCUUAUGCUAUUUUACCUACGCUUAGGAUGUUGACGAUCAGCUGAGCGCG